UUGAGAGAACUAUUGUUAAGGAACUCGGCAAAAUGACCCCGUAACUUAGGGAGAAGGGGUGCCUGUCUAUGACAGGCCGCAGAGAAUAGGCCCAAGCGACUGUUUACCAAAAACACAGGUUUCUGCUAAGUCGCAAGACGAUGUAUAGGAGCUGACGCCUGCCCGGUGCUGGAAGGUUAAGGGGAUCUGUUAGAGCAAUCGAAGCAGUGAACUUAAGCCCCAGUAAACGGCGGCCGUAACUAUAACGGUCCUAAGGUAGCGAAAUUCCUUGUCGGGUAAGUUCCGACCCGCACGAAAGGCGUAACGAUUUGGGCACUGUCUCAACAAUAGACUCGGUGAAAUUGUAAUCCCGGUGAAGAUGCCGGGUACCUGCGACAGGACGGAAAGACCCCAUGGAGCUUUACUGUAGCUUGACGUUGGGUCUUGGUACUACAUAUACAGGAUAGGUGGGAGACUAUGAAGCAUGGACGCCAGUCUGUGUGGAGUCAUCCUUGGGAUACCACCCUUGUAGUACUGGGAUCCUAACCAUAGGCCUUGAAUCAGGUCUUGGAACACCGUCAGGUGGGCAGUUUGACUGGGGCGGUCGCCUCCUAAAAAGUAACGGAGGCGCUCAAAGGUUUCCUCAGCACGGUCGGAAAUCGUGCGAAGAGUGAAAAGGCAAAAGGAAGCUUGAUUGCAAGACAUACAGGUCGAGCAAGGACGAAAGUCGGACUUAGUGAUCCGGUGGUACCGCAUGGAAGGGCCAUCGCUCAACGGAUAAAAGCUACCCUGGGGAUAACAGGCUUAUCUCCCCCAAGAGUCCACAUCGACGGGGAGGUUUGGCACCUCGAUGUCGGCUCAUCACAUCCUGGGGCUGUAGUAGGUCCCAAGGGUUGGGCUGUUCGCCCAUUAAAGUGGUACGCGAGCUGGGUUCAGAACGUCGUGAGACAGUUCGGUCCCUAUCCGUCGCAGGCGUAGGAAAUUUGAGAAGACCUGUCCUUAGUACGAGAGGACCGGGAUGGACGUACCUCUGGUGUACCAGUUGUUCUGCCAAGGGCAUGGCUGGGUAGCUAUGUACGGAAUGGAUAAGCGCUGAAAGCAUCUAAGCGCGAAGCCAACUUCAAGAUAAGAUUUCCCACCGUAAGGGUAAGACCCCAGGAAGACUACCUGGUUGAUAGGUCGAAGGUGUAAGUGCAGUAAUGUAUUUAGCUUAUCGAUACUAAUAGGUCGAGGACUUGACCG
RNAcentral lists this ribosomal RNA (1221 nucleotides) under metagenome. RNAcentral's name for it is "bacterial LSU rRNA". It matches the Rfam family "Bacterial large subunit ribosomal RNA", at positions 1689 to 2925 of the family's 2925-position model. The record is from RNAcentral.